Molecule: ribosomal RNA, 1095 nt
Filed under: uncultured bacterium
Lineage: Bacteria
Description: bacterial SSU rRNA
Rfam family: Bacterial small subunit ribosomal RNA
Source: RNAcentral
AGAGUUUGAUCCUGGCUCAGAACGAACGCUGGCGGCGUGUUUAAGACAUGCAAGUCGCACGGGAUCAUUUGAGUAGCAAUACAAGAAUGGUUUAGUGGCGCACGGGUGAGUAACACGUGAAUUACAUGCCCUGCAGAGGGGGAUAGCCCAGGGAAACUUGGAUUAAUACCCCAUGGUAUCGCAAGAUUAAACGGUGGCCGCAAGGCUGUCGCUGCAGGAUUGGUUCGCGCCCUAUCAGCUUGUUGGUGAGGUAACGGCUCACCAAGGCUACGACGGGUACCUGGUCUGAGAGGACGAUCAGGCACACUGGAACUGAGACACGGUCCAGACACCUACGGGUGGCAGCAGUCGAGAAUAAUUCACAAUGGGGGCAACCCUGAUGGUGCAACGCCGCGUGGAGGAUGACGGUCUUCGGAUUGUAAACUCCUGUCAUCUGGGAGUAAGACCUGGUCGUUAAUAGCGGACAGGGUUGAUAGUACCAGAAGAGGAAGGGACGGCUAACUUCGUGCCAGCAGCCGCGGUAAUACGAAGGUCCCGAGCGUUGUUCGGAAUCACUGGGCGUAAAGGGAGCGUAGGCGGCGUGGUAAGUCAGAUGUGAAAUCCCGGGGCUCAACCCCGGAACUGCAUCCGAUACUGCCGUGCUAGAGGAUUGGAGAGGUAGCUGGAAUUCUUGGUGUAGCAGUGAAAUGCGUGGAUAUCAAGAGGAACACUCGUGGCGAAAGCGAGCUACUGGACAACUCCUGACGCUGAGGCUCGAAGGCCAGGGUAGCGAAAGGGAUUAGAUACCCCUGUAGUCCUGGCAGUAAACGGUGCACGCUUGGUGUGAGGGGAAUCGACCCCCCUUGUGCCGGAGCAAACGCGUUAAGCGUGCCGCCUGGGAAGUACGGUCGCAAGACUAAAACUCAAAGAAAUUGACGGGGACCCGCACAAGCGGUGGAGUAUGUGGCUUAAUUCGAUGCAACGCGAAGAACCUUACCAAGGCUUGACAUGGAUUUCUAAGCACGUGAAAGCGUGUGACCCUUCGGGGAACUUCCACAGGUGCUGCAUGGCCGUCGUCAGCUCGUGUCGUGAGAUGUUGGGUUAAGUCCCGCAACG